This 253-nucleotide ribosomal RNA is filed under the name uncultured bacterium. RNAcentral describes it as "partial 16S ribosomal RNA". It matches the Rfam family "Bacterial small subunit ribosomal RNA", at positions 524 to 776 of the family's 1533-position model. The record is from RNAcentral.
GACGAACCGUGCGAACGUUGUUCGGAUUCACUGGGCUUAAAGGGCGCGUAGGCGGGCUGGCAAGUCAGGGGUGAAAUCCUCCGGCUCAACCGGAGAACAGCCUUUGAUACUGCCAGUCUAGAGGAAGGUAGGGGCAUGUGGAACUUCCGGUGGAGCGGUGAAAUGCGUAGAUAUUCGGAAGAACACCAGUGGCGAAGGCGGCUCACUGGACUGGUAUUGACGCUGAGGUGCGAAAGCGUGGGGAGCAAACAGG